Molecule: ribosomal RNA, 440 nt
Filed under: uncultured bacterium
Lineage: Bacteria
Description: partial 16S ribosomal RNA
Rfam family: Bacterial small subunit ribosomal RNA
Source: RNAcentral
CCUACGGGAGGCUGCAGUGGGGAAUAUUGCACAAUGGGGGAAACCCUGAUGCAGCAACGCCGCGUGAGUGAAGAAGUAUUUCGGUAUGUAAAGCUCUAUCAGCAGGGAAGAAAAUGACGGUACCUGAGUAAGAAGCCCCGGCUAACUACGUGCCAGCAGCCGCGGUAAUACGUAGGGGGCAAGCGUUAUCCGGAUUUACUGGGUGUAAAGGGAGCGUAGACGGCGAUACAAGUCUGAAGUGAAAGCCCGGGUCUCAACCCCGGGACUGCUUUGGAAACUGUGUUGCUGGAGUGCUGGAGAGGCAAGCGGAAUUCCUAGUGUAGCGGUGAAAUGCGUAGAUAUUAGGAAGAACACCAGUGGCGAAGGCAGCAUACCGGCGCCCAACUGACGCUGAAGCACGAAAGCGUGGGUAUCGAACAGGAUUAGAUACCCUGGUAGUC